RNAcentral lists this long non-coding RNA (354 nucleotides) under Oryza brachyantha (malo sina). RNAcentral's name for it is "long non-coding RNA (OBRA_LNC000203)". Lineage: Eukaryota; Viridiplantae; Streptophyta; Magnoliopsida; Poales; Poaceae. The record is from RNAcentral.
GUCGAUGCCCGACGGACGCCACCACCGUCUGACCGCCGCCGUCGCCCCGAGCUGCGGGCUCCCGCUGCUGCCGCCGGCCUCCCCCCAACCCGAUCUGGAUCUGGAGAGGGUGGAGAGAGAGUGGGUGGACGGGGGAGGGAAGGGGAGGUGAGAGAACUGCAGCAUGGGGCCCACAUUUAAAGCUACUACUAGUCGUUGCCCUAAGGUGAUGCCCGUAAAAGAGGUAAAAGUUUCCGCUCGCCCUUUCUUUUGGGCCUAGCCUCUGCGACACAGCAUACUAUUCCCAGCGUGCACUUGUGAUGCGUGAAUGGUGAAUAGUCUCGAUCAACAGGACUGACCAGGUGCUGUAGAUAA